This 849-nucleotide ribosomal RNA is filed under the name uncultured Bacillota bacterium. RNAcentral's name for it is "bacterial SSU rRNA". It matches the Rfam family "Bacterial small subunit ribosomal RNA", at positions 71 to 896 of the family's 1533-position model. Lineage: Bacteria; Bacillati; Bacillota. The record is from RNAcentral.
AAAGCCCUUUCGGGGGUGAGUAGAGUGGCGUCCGGGUGAGUAACACGUAGGUAAUCUACCUCUGGGUGGGGAAUAACGUCUCGAAAGAGACGCUAAUACCGCAUAAUGCAGCGGCACCUAAUGGUGAAUGGUUGUUAAAGCGGGGGACCCGCAAGGGCCUUGCGCCUAGAGAGGAGCCUGCGGCAGAUUAGCUAGUUGGUGAGGUAAUGGCUCACCAAGGCUUCGAUCUGUAGCUGGUCUGAGAGGACGGCCAGCCACACUGGCACUGACACACGGGCCAGACUCCUACGGGAGGCAGCAGUGGGGAAUUUUGGGCAAUGGGCGAAAGCCUGACCCAGCAACGCCGCGUGAGGGAGGAAAUCCUUCGGGAUGUAAACCUCACAAGCAAGGGAAGAGCGCGAAGAGGCGAAUACCUUCUUCGUCCGACGGUACCUUGCGUAAGCCACGGCUAACUACGUGCCAGCAGCCGCGGUAAUACGUAGGUGGCAAGCGUUGUUCGGAAUUAUUGGGCGUAAAGGGCGCGUAGGCGGUUUGUUAAGUCAGCUGUGAAAGCCCGGGGCUCAACCCCGGAGGGUCAGCUGAUACUGGCAGACUAGAGUACAGAAGAGGUACUGGAAUUCCCGGUGUAGCGGUGAAAUGCGUAGAUAUCGGGAGGAACACCUGAGGCGAAGGCGGGUUACUGGGCUGAUACUGACGCUGAUGCGCGAAAGCCAGGGGAGCAAACGGGAUUAGAUACCCCGGUAGUCCUGGCCCUAAACGAUGGAUACUUGGUGUGUCGGGUCUUCAAGUCCCGGCGUGCCGGAGCUAACGCGUUAAGUAUCCCGCCUGGGGAGUACGGUCGCAAGGCUG